RNAcentral lists this ribosomal RNA (790 nucleotides) under Oceanobacillus sp. ARRCAS001. Its description in RNAcentral is "bacterial SSU rRNA". It matches the Rfam family "Bacterial small subunit ribosomal RNA", at positions 45 to 807 of the family's 1533-position model. The record is from RNAcentral. Lineage: Bacteria; Bacillati; Bacillota; Bacilli; Caryophanales; Bacillaceae.
UGCUAUACAUGCAGUCGAGCGCAGGAAAUAAACAGGAUCCCUUCGGGGUAAUGUUUAUGGAAUGAGCGGCGGACGGGUGAGUAACACGUGGGCAACCUGCCUGUAAGAUCGGGAUAACUCGCGGAAACGUGAGCUAAUACCGGAUAACACUUUUCAUCUCAUGGUGAGAAGAUAAAAGACGGUUUCGGCUGUCACUUACAGAUGGGCCCGCGGCGCAUUAGCUAGUUGGUGAGGUAACGGCUCACCAAGGCGACGAUGCGUAGCCGACCUGAGAGGGUGAUCGGCCACACUGGGACUGAGACACGGCCCAGACUCCUACGGGAGGCAGCAGUAGGGAAUCUUCCGCAAUGGACGAAAGUCUGACGGAGCAACGCCGCGUGAGUGAUGAAGGUUUUCGGAUCGUAAAACUCUGUUGUUAGGGAAGAACAAGUUGGGUAGUAACUGACCCAACCUUGACGGUACCUAACCAGAAAGCCACGGCUAACUACGUGCCAGCAGCCGCGGUAAUACGUAGGUGGCAAGCGUUGUCCGGAAUUAUUGGGCGUAAAGCGCUCGCAGGCGGUCUUUUAAGUCUGAUGUGAAAGCCCACGGCUUAACCGUGGAGGGUCAUUGGAAACUGGAGGACUUGAGUACAGAAGAGGAGAGUGGAAUUCCACGUGUAGCGGUGAAAUGCGUAGAGAUGUGGAGGAACACCAGUGGCGAAGGCGACUCUCUGGUCUGUAACUGACGCUGAGGAGCGAAAGCGUGGGUAGCGAACAGAUUAGAUACCCUGGUAGUCCACGCCGUAAAC